Molecule: long non-coding RNA, 610 nt
Organism: Myxocyprinus asiaticus (Chinese sucker)
Lineage: Eukaryota; Metazoa; Chordata; Actinopteri; Cypriniformes; Catostomidae
Exons: 3
Source: RefSeq, a predicted model, not a curated record
GUUUUUAUUGUGCGACUCAUGUCUAAUAUGGAGUGGCCAUGUACCGAGGGGAGUAGAAGUGCCAGGAGACGGACGGCAUCUAUUUGGUCGAAUGCUACUAGGGGAAGUUUCCCCAUCUAGAAGAGACUCCUGCAAACAGUGGUCAGGGGGUCCGUUAUGGGUCUCUUCAUAAUAUCUGGAGUCUUUGGAAUCAAUCCUGCAGCACCUUUCCCCGGCUUCUGUAUGGGGGACUGAGUGGACACAGGAGGAUCGGAAAAUUCCAUUUCCCACGAGUCCGGUGGCUCUCUUUGCUUCAUUGCCAAAAACUCAUCCUUCCAGUUGUGAAUGGGUGUAUUCUCACCCCGACUAGACUCUUUGACAUCCGUUUCAGAAUUUCCUCUGGACGUCCUCUCUCUGCAGACUGUGGAGGACAUACUGCACCUGAAGCAUCAGGCUCAUCUGUCUCCUCUCUGCCUCAAUCCUCAUCACCUUCUCUUGAUGAACAGCUUUCCGCUGAGCUUUCAGCAACUACAGCAGAGCAAAGAAGACCCAACCAAACAGGACGCACCACAGCUGGCCAUCAGUGCCCUAAAUUCUCAGCCAUCUAAAUUUAUGUACAUACAGUGCUUGU